UUAGGGUUUGAUCCUGGCUCAGGAUGAACGCUAGCGGCAGGCCUAAUACAUGCAAGUCGGACGGGAUUGGUUCCAGAGCUUGCUCUGGGACCAUGAGAGUGGCGCACGGGUGCGUAACGCGUGAGCAACCUACCCAUAUCAGGGGGAUAGCCCGGAGAAAUCCGGAUUAACACCGCAUGAGACAGUAUUACCGCAUGGUAUAGCUGUUAAAUAUUUAUAGGAUAUGGAUGGGCUCGCGUGACAUUAGCUAGUUGGUAGGGUAACGGCUUACCAAGGCGACGAUGUCUAGGGGCUCUGAGAGGAGAAUCCCCCACACUGGUACUGAGACACGGACCAGACUCCUACGGGAGGCAGCAGUAAGGAAUAUUGGUCAAUGGGCGGAAGCCUGAACCAGCCAUGCCGCGUGCAGGAUGACUGCCCUAUGGGUUGUAAACUGCUUUUAUCCGGGAAUAAACCCCAGUACGUGUACUGGGCUGAAUGUACCGGAAGAAUAAGGAUCGGCUAACUCCGUGCCNGCAGCCGCGGUAAUACGGAGGAUCCGAGCGUUAUCCGGAUUUAUUGGGUUUAAAGGGUGCGUAGGCGGCCCGUUAAGUCNGGAGUGAAAGACGGCAGCUCAACUGUCGCAGUGCUCUUGAUACUGAUGGGCUUGAAUCCNGUUGAAGUGGGCGGAAUAAGACNAGUAGCGGUGAAAUGCAUAGACAUGUCUUAGAACUCCNAUUGCNAANGCAGCUCNCUAAAGUGGUAUUGAC
RNAcentral lists this ribosomal RNA (749 nucleotides) under uncultured bacterium. RNAcentral describes it as "bacterial SSU rRNA". It matches the Rfam family "Bacterial small subunit ribosomal RNA", at positions 1 to 744 of the family's 1533-position model. The record is from RNAcentral.